This 332-nucleotide ribosomal RNA is filed under the name uncultured bacterium. Its description in RNAcentral is "partial 16S ribosomal RNA". It matches the Rfam family "Bacterial small subunit ribosomal RNA", at positions 338 to 687 of the family's 1533-position model. The record is from RNAcentral.
CCUACGGGGAGCAGCAGUGGGGAAUAUUGCACAAUGGGGGAAACCCUGAUGCAGCGACGCCGCGUGAGUGAAGAAGUAAUUCGUUAUGUAAAGCUCUAUCAGCAGGGAAGAAAAUGACGGUACCUGAGUAAGAAGCCCCGGCUAACUACGUGCCAGCAGCCGCGGUAAUACGUAGGGGGCAGGCGCUAGCCGGAUUUACUGGGUGAAAAGCGAGCGGAGACGGCAGAGCAAGUCUGGAGUGAAAGGCGGGGGCUCAACCGGAGGAUUGCUCUAGAAACUGUACGGAUUGAGUGCAGGAGAGGAGAGUGGAACUGCAUGUGGAGGGGUGUAAU